AAGUCGUAACAAGGUCUCCGUUGGUGAACCAGCGGAGGGAUCAUUACCGAGUUUACAACUCCCAAACCCCUGUGAACAUACUUAUACGUUGCCUCGGCGGAUCAGCCCGCGCCCCGUAAAACGGGACGGCCCGCCCGAGGACCCCUAAACUCUGUUUUUAGUGGAACUUCUGAGUAAAACAAACAAAUAAAUCAAAACUUUCAACAACGGAUCUCUUGGUUCUG
This 224-nucleotide unclassified non-coding RNA is filed under the name fungal sp. RNAcentral describes it as "partial internal transcribed spacer region". The stretch from base 1 to 46 matches the Rfam family "Eukaryotic small subunit ribosomal RNA", at positions 1786 to 1831 of the family's 1831-position model. Lineage: Eukaryota; Fungi. The record is from RNAcentral.